RNAcentral lists this ribosomal RNA (252 nucleotides) under uncultured bacterium. RNAcentral describes it as "partial 16S ribosomal RNA". It matches the Rfam family "Bacterial small subunit ribosomal RNA", at positions 524 to 776 of the family's 1533-position model. The record is from RNAcentral.
GACAGAGGUCCCGAGCGUUAGGCGGAAUCACUGGGCUUAAAGCGUGUGUAGGCGGACUUCUAAGUACCUUGUGAAAUCCCACGGCUUAACCGUGGAACUGCUUGGUAUACUGGUUGUCUUGGGCCAUCUAGGGGCUACUGGAACAAACGGUGGAGCGGUGAAAUGCGUAGAUAUCGCUUGGAACGCCGAAGGUGAAACAGGCUGCUGGGGUUGCGCCGACGCUGAGACACGAAAGCCAGGGGAGCAAACGGG